This 488-nucleotide ribosomal RNA is filed under the name uncultured bacterium. RNAcentral describes it as "partial 16S ribosomal RNA". It matches the Rfam family "Bacterial small subunit ribosomal RNA", at positions 28 to 507 of the family's 1533-position model. The record is from RNAcentral.
GACGAACGCUGGCGGCGUGCUUAACACAUGCAAGUCGAACGGAAAGGCCCUGCUUUUGUGGGGUGCUCGAGUGGCGAACGGGUGAGUAACACGUGAGUAACCUGCCCUUGACUUUGGGAUAACUUCAGGAAACUGGGGCUAAUACCGGAUAGGAGCUCCUGCUGCAUGGUGGGGGUUGGAAAGUUUCGGCGGUUGGGGAUGGACUCGCGGCUUAUCAGCUUGUUGGUGGGGUGGUGGCUAACCAUGGCGUCGGCGGGUAGCCGGCCUGAGAGGGUGACCGGCCACACUGGUACGGGGGCGCGGCCGAGACUCCUACGGGAGGCAGGAGUGGGGGAUUUUGGACAAUGGGGGGAACGCUGAUCCAGCGAUGCCGCGUGGGUGAAGAAGGACUUCGGGUGGUAAAGCAGGGUUGGCCGGAAAGAAAUCGCGCUGGUUAAUACCUGGCGGGGAUGACGGUACCGGAAGAAUAAGCACCGGCUAACUACGUG